AUGUCUCCAUAUGAUUUGUUUGCUACUACCUUGCAUUGCAUUAUGCCAUCACUUAAGGUAGAUUUGAAAAACUAUUUGCUUGGAUUUGAUCAUACACACCUUGUUAGUGGCACUGCUCAUAUCUCUGUUCAUGAUACUUAUGUUCCUGAUGUUAUACCCAUGCUUAAUGAAACGUGUGAUUCUAAUACUAGCAUUGAGCUUACUGAUUUGUACCAUCCUAAACUUGUGUUUUAUAGCUAUGCUUAUGUAAUUGGGUACUCUAUUGAUGAUUUAGAGGGCAUUACUCCUAUCACUCGUAUUAUCUCUUUGGUUGAGUGCCUUUUCAGGUUUUUGCUUGUGCAUGAAACAAUACAUGCUGACCGGGUCCGAGGUGACAUUCCUUGGGACCCCGGUGGACUCUGA
RNAcentral lists this ribosomal RNA (402 nucleotides) under Triticum aestivum (bread wheat). RNAcentral's name for it is "partial small subunit ribosomal RNA". The record is from RNAcentral. Lineage: Eukaryota; Viridiplantae; Streptophyta; Magnoliopsida; Poales; Poaceae.